UUGGCACCGGGCACGCAGGAGG
This 22-nucleotide unclassified non-coding RNA is filed under the name Chlamydomonas reinhardtii. RNAcentral's name for it is "small RNA Cre_3981". Lineage: Eukaryota; Viridiplantae; Chlorophyta; Chlorophyceae; Chlamydomonadales; Chlamydomonadaceae. The record is from RNAcentral.